Molecule: long non-coding RNA, 185 nt
Organism: Juglans microcarpa x Juglans regia
Lineage: Eukaryota; Viridiplantae; Streptophyta; Magnoliopsida; Fagales; Juglandaceae
Exons: 3
Source: RefSeq, a predicted model, not a curated record
UUUAAAAAAAGACAUAAAGUUAAGGAUUUAUCAAUAGGUAAUGUUGCUCCAAUACCCAACCAAAGGGCUACUGCAGUACCAAUCAAAAAGACAGUUGUCGCUACGGGACGACGAAAUGGAUUUUGGAAUUUAUUAACAUUCUCCAAAAAGGGUACGGUUAAUAAUCCCGCAGGUACUGAAACCAU